This 75-nucleotide transfer RNA is filed under the name Pseudomonadota bacterium. RNAcentral describes it as "tRNA-Thr". It matches the Rfam family "tRNA". From Rfam's summary of the family: Transfer RNA (tRNA) molecules are approximately 80 nucleotides in length. Their secondary structure includes four short double-helical elements and three loops (D, anti-codon, and T loops). Lineage: Bacteria; Pseudomonadati; Pseudomonadota. The record is from RNAcentral.
GCCGGUUUAGCUCAGGGGUAGAGCAGCGGUUUUGUAAACCGUUGGUCGGCGGUUCAAAUCCGUCAACCGGCACCA